AGUGAACGCUGGCGGUAGGCCUAACACAUGCAAGUCGAACGGCAGCACAGUAAGAGCUUGCUCUUACGGGUGGCGAGUGGCGGACGGGUGAGGAAUACAUCGGAAUCUACUUUUUCGUGGGGGAUAACGUAGGGAAACUUACGCUAAUACCGCAUACGACCUACGGGUGAAAGCAGGGGAUCUUCGGACCUUGCGCGAUUGAAUGAGCCGAUGUCGGAUUAGCUAGUUGGCGGGGUAAAGGCCCACCAAGGCGACGAUCCGUAGCUGGUCUGAGAGGAUGAUCAGCCACACUGGAACUGAGACACGGUCCAGACUCCUACGGGAGGCAGCAGUGGGGAAUAUUGGACAAUGGGCGCAAGCCUGAUCCAGCCAUACCGCGUGGGUGAAGAAGGCCUUCGGGUUGUAAAGCCCUUUUGUUGGGAAAGAAAAGCAGCAGGUUAAUACCCCGCUGUUCUGACGGUGCCCAAAGAAUAAGCACCGGCUAACUUCGUGC
Molecule: ribosomal RNA, 493 nt
Filed under: uncultured bacterium
Lineage: Bacteria
Description: partial 16S ribosomal RNA
Rfam family: Bacterial small subunit ribosomal RNA
Source: RNAcentral